RNAcentral lists this ribosomal RNA (248 nucleotides) under uncultured Ruminiclostridium sp. RNAcentral's name for it is "partial 16S ribosomal RNA". It matches the Rfam family "Bacterial small subunit ribosomal RNA", at positions 524 to 771 of the family's 1533-position model. Lineage: Bacteria; Bacillati; Bacillota; Clostridia; Eubacteriales; Oscillospiraceae. The record is from RNAcentral.
UACGUAGGGAGCGAGCGUUGUCCGGAUUUACUGGGUGUAAAGGGUGCGUAGGCGGUUUUGCAAGUCAGAAGUGAAAUCCAUGGGCUUAACCCAUGAACUGCUUUUGAAACUGUCGGUCUUGAGUGGUGUAGAGGUAAGCGGAAUUCCCGGUGUAGCGGUGGAAUGCGUAGAUAUCGGGAGGAACACCAGUGGCGAAGGCGGCCUACUGGGCUUUAACUGACGCUGAGGCACGAAAGCGUGGGUAGCAA